AUCCCUGCGAGCAGCCACUAGACGCUCCACCACCAUCUUUUGCAUGUGCAACAUUUGCAGCCGGACAGAAAACCUCUCCCAGGGCUAUGGAGACUGCGGGAAAAAUCUGGCGGCUCGCGAUGGAUUGCUAAGGGGAAAUAGUCGUAAUCUUAAACCACCGAAACCUCUUUCCUUUUUUUUUCUUUCUUUCUUUCUUUUUUUUUUUGGUUGAUUUUAAUUUUAGCGCCAUCGUCUUCAAUGCUUCUCUGAACAGCCUUUGGGAAGAGUGCGAGAGAAAGAGAGAGAGCGCGCGCCAGGGAGAGGAGAAAAGAAGAUGAGGAUUAUUUGCAGACAGAUUGUCUUGUUAUUUUCCGGAUUUUGGGGACUCGCCAUGGGAGCCUUUCCGAGCAGCGUGCAAAUAGGUGGUCUCUUCAUCCGAAACACAGAUCAGGAAUACACUGCUUUUCGAUUAGCAAUUUUUCUUCAUAACACCAGCCCCAAUGCGUCGGAAGCUCCUUUUAAUUUGGUACCUCAUGUGGACAACAUUGAGACAGCCAACAGUUUUGCUGUAACAAAUGCCUUCUGUUCCCAGUAUUCUAGAGGAGUAUUUGCCAUUUUUGGACUCUAUGAUAAGAGGUCAGUACAUACCUUGACCUCAUUCUGCAGCGCCUUACAUAUCUCCCUCAUCACACCAAGUUUCCCUACUGAGGGGGAGAGCCAGUUUGUGCUGCAACUAAGACCUUCGUUACGAGGAGCACUCUUGAGUCUGCUGGAUCACUACGAAUGGAACUGUUUUGUCUUCCUGUAUGACACAGACAGGGGAUACUCGAUACUCCAAGCUAUUAUGGAAAAAGCAGGACAAAAUGGUUGGCAUGUCAGCGCUAUAUGUGUGGAAAAUUUUAAUGAUGUCAGCUAUAGGCAACUUCUAGAAGAACUUGAUAGAAGACAAGAGAAGAAGUUUGUAAUAGACUGUGAGAUAGAGAGACUUCAAAACAUAUUAGAACAGGUAAGUCCUAGGUUUUAUAUUUUUAACCUAGACCCCAUACAGAAAAAUUUAACCUUUGAUUGACUUGUCCCCAUCAACAUCUUCUCCCAGCUUUUAAUUUGGAGUGUGAGGUUUGAGAGUUUUCAUUCCAUGACUAUCUUCAGGACCAAAUUACAAUCUUUUAUCACCAAGGACCUUUUUGGUUCUUAGGUCUCAAUGUAUUUAGAAAGCUAUUUCUCACAUAUUCUUAAGACUUGAAUGAGUGAAAGACCCUGUGUGAAUCUUGAAGAGCUCUUGGCCUCCAGUUUUCGAAAAUAUUAAUGUUGAAGAUUAAUCCCAUCUAAAAAUGGUACAAAAAUUAUAAAUUUGUGAGUGCCCCUUUUUUAGAGGCACACUAACUUAAGUGCUACAUGAGAAACAGCAACAUAAAUUACUAAAGCAAUAAAAUAAAA
This 1416-nucleotide small RNA is filed under the name Pongo abelii (Sumatran orangutan). RNAcentral's name for it is "retained intron". The record is from RNAcentral. Lineage: Eukaryota; Metazoa; Chordata; Mammalia; Primates; Hominidae.